RNAcentral lists this ribosomal RNA (505 nucleotides) under uncultured bacterium. RNAcentral describes it as "partial 16S ribosomal RNA". It matches the Rfam family "Bacterial small subunit ribosomal RNA", at positions 28 to 507 of the family's 1533-position model. The record is from RNAcentral.
GACGAACGCUGGCGGCGUGCCUAAUACAUGCAAGUAGAACGCACAGUUUAUACCGUAGCUUGCUACACCAUAGACUGUGAGUUGCGAACGGGUGAGUAACGCGUAGGUAACCUGCCUGGUAGCGGGGGAUAACUAUUGGAAACGAUAGCUAAUACCGCAUAAUAUUGAUUAUUGCAUGAUAAUUAAUUGAAAGGUGCAAUUGCACCACUACCAGAUGGACCUGCGUUGUAUUAGCUAGUAGGUGAGGUAACGGCUCACCUAGGCGACGAUACAUAGCCGACCUGGGAGGGUGAUCGGCCACACUGGGACUGAGACACGGCCCAGACUCCUACGGGAGGAAGCAGUAGGGAAUCUUCGGCAAUGGACGAAAGUCUGACCGAGCAACGCCGCGUGAGUGAAGAAGGUUUUCGGAUCGUAAAGCUCGGUUGUAAGAGAAGAACGGGUGUGAGAGUGGAAAGUUCACACUGUGACGGUAUCUGACCAGAAAGGGACGGCUAACUACGUG